This 465-nucleotide ribosomal RNA is filed under the name uncultured bacterium. Its description in RNAcentral is "partial 16S ribosomal RNA". It matches the Rfam family "Bacterial small subunit ribosomal RNA", at positions 28 to 507 of the family's 1533-position model. The record is from RNAcentral.
GACGAACGCUGGCGGCGUGCUUAACACAUGCAAGUCGAGCGAGGCCCCUCCUUCGGGAGGGUGUCCUAGCGGCGAACGGAUGAGUAACACGUGGGCAACCUGCCCUCAGCUCUGGGAUAACUCCGGGAAACCGGGGCUAAUACCGGAUACGACCUCCACGGGCAUCUGCGGAGGUGGAAAGUUUUUCGGCUGAGGAUGGGCCCGCGGCCUAUCAGCUAGUUGGUGGGGUAGUGGCCCACCAAGGCGACGACGGGUAGCCGGCCUGAGAGGGCGACCGGCCACACUGGGACUGAGACACGGCCCAGACUCCUACGGGAGGCAGCAGUGGGGAAUAUUGCGCAAUGGGCGAAAGCCUGACGCAGCGACGCCGCGUGAGGGACGAAGGCCUUCGGGUUGUAAACCUCUUUCAGCAGGGACGAAGCGAAAGUGACGGUACCUGCAGAAGAAGCACCGGCCAACUACGUG